RNAcentral lists this long non-coding RNA (1506 nucleotides) under Neodiprion lecontei (redheaded pine sawfly). RNAcentral describes it as "uncharacterized LOC124293734". Lineage: Eukaryota; Metazoa; Arthropoda; Insecta; Hymenoptera; Diprionidae. The record is from RNAcentral.
GUAGCUUGCUUUGCUUUCGUUAGCUCGGCGAUUGAUAUUCUGGAAAUAAUUAAGAAGACAAAAAAGGAAUGAUAAAUCAAUAACAAUGAUCCAAAUUGUUCUUGGAUAUGUAAAAUCGUCGCUACACACACUAGGGACGGAAAGAACGGGCUAGGCAGAUGCCGGAAGUGAGUCACCCGGCUACGGGAAAAUCGAAGUAGAGGUGGCGAACGGGUGAAGGAAGGGAGCCACCGGCGUGCGCAGAGACAGCGAACUGCGAAUCCCUGACCAUCUGCGCAACCGUUAGCCGCACCAAACGCAACACAUAUUGAUUCACGUGGGAGGAUAGGACAUAGAAGUAAAAGGAUAAAGUACUGAAAGCGGCUCUGAAAGUAUGCAGCCUGUACAAGGCACAGAGCAUAUGUACUUGGAGCUGCUUGGAGUAAGUAUCCGGUAUCAGGGUGUACAGCAUAGAAAUAGCCUAUUCCAAACUAUUAUAAUUUACAUGCUGUUGAGACGGGUUCACUGAUCUGUAUUUAAAUCAUCUAACCUUAGAUCUGUGUACCCAUGUAGGAAUAAAGAUUAUAAGGAUACACGAUCUCUUCGAAUGAAUAGAUUUUGAGAAUCGCCAAGAUCAAAGAAUUUUUAAAUUCUCGGAAAAUACAAGAAACGCUGACUAAAGAUAUAUGAUGACUGAUCGGACUUUUCGUAGUCUAAAAUGGAUGGGAUAAAUUCUUUUUGUAUGGUCUAAGGAUAAAUUCAUCGUCAAGCAGUGCCCUCUGCGUCCUAUGUUGCACGCGUAACUUAAUCCAGCAAGCGGUCGGUACGUAAAGACAAGAACUGAUGUUACCAUCGCUCGCUGCGUGUGCCCAGAUAAUGCAGAGUCGAAUAUUAUUAUGCCUAUGGAAUGUCGAACGGAAACAGACUAAAAUUCUCAUAUAACCCUGUCUGGACGCCGCAUACUUUUCAACUACGCAAAUUCAUUUGGACAAAUUCAGCAAUGUCAAUCUAACUCCAUCGGAUCGAAAAAAAUAAUGUUACCUACAUUGAUGCACAAUAAACAUGCACCAGGUUUACUGUUAACAGAGUUACAAACCUUUUCUUGAUUCAAAGGAUGGGAGACAUAGUCAGAGAAGUUUAAUCAAAGGAUGGAGAUACAUACUAGUUCCUAUGUAAUAUGUUCCAUAUGUAAUUGCUGUACAUAUUUUUAUUACUUGACUCGUAUCGUUAACUGAAGAUAAUAAUAAUAUGUAUCUUCAGUCAAUGCUCAUCUUCAUUCCGACAGAAAAUGCAGCUGACAUGUAAAAAUAGUUUCUUAACUGACGUUAGAUUUCCGUGGUCUUUGAAAAUACAGUUUAUUUUCAGUGGAAAACUAAAACCUUUCUACACAAAAAAAUACAUGUAAAUAUUUUUUGAAAAUUAGCUAAGACUCGAUUGUUAGUAAUGUUUGAGUCCAUGCUGUAACAAACCCCGAUAGAUCUCAGGCAAUCAUUAUCACAAAUGUAAUUAAAAUAAAUUUAAAGAUGA